GACAAUUCAAAAUGGAAUCCAUAACUUCUAACAACAUCAACAACUAUCUCCGAAAUCUCUAGUACAUAGAAACCAAUAUCUCGUCUGAAACUGGGACAAGGCACCCAGUAGACCAUAAAACAGAGGAAUCAUCAAAAACUGAAAAUCAGGCCUUCCGGAAUAGAGAAGGCUCACCAACUGCAAUUUCUGACACACACCAAUCUACUGCUAGAAGGGACCACAGGACUGUGCCUCGGAUCCUGAGAUAUAGGGGGCCAAAACAGAUUUACUGGUACACAGAGCAAUCCAAAAUAAUGUAAUUUAAUAAAUAACAUAAGCGAGAGUAUUUCACCAAAAUCUUAUGCAUGAAAUAAUUUUAAAACACAUGGACAGCUUCAUAUGAUCUUAAUGAAAUUUUGUGGGUACAAUCUCUUUACUUUAUUUUACUUCUGAGUUAGGUGGUACACCCAACAUAUCUGAAAGUAUCCCACGGGCUAUGUGGGAUCCGCCCUUAACUCGGUUGCCGAGCCCCCAACCCAAGUUUACCGCAAGAGUUGGAGUAUUUGAAUCUGAUACGCCAUAGGGCACUAGACCAGCGUAUAAUCCCUCAUUCAGGUCAUAAUAAAUCCAUCUGGCAAAAUACAGUUCCGGACAAUGAAUUGUAUGACUCAUGCCUACUUCGGGUAACCACCUAAUGCUCUUGGUGUCCAUGUUUAAUCUGUUCUAAACAGCAUCUUUCUCAAUUCAAAAUCUAAAAAUCUGAAUGAAAUAUGAAUUAGGUUCUAUUUUGAGUCUGCUAUGGCAUUAUUUGAUUUGAUAUCGUCAUACCAUAGACUUGCAAGCCGUAUCUAAGCCACUCAAUAUCAUAUUACAAUCUUUUUCUUUCAAAACAUGUGUUCAGACCACCAAACCAUUCAAACAGUAUAAGAGGAUGCAUAUAGUGAAAUUCAUGAAAGCUUAGGCAAAGAUCCUCAAUUUCAAAUUCACAAACACUUAGUGGUCAAGUAUUUCGUAAAAAAUCAUGCAAUCUCUUUAAAUCACCACUUUUCAUCCAUGUUAACAAGAAUCACCCUCUCUCUUCAAUUUAUAAUCUAAAUCAAUGCUUAAAUAAUAAUAAUAAAGACAUUUGAAUCAUGCUUCUCAAUAUGCAAUUGAAUAACAUAUGAAAACAAGAGGCUUAAUAACAAGAGAGGGAUUUUAAGUGUUCAUGCUUUCAAUUCAACAUUCAAACUCAAAAUCGCAUACAUACUUAUAUAUACAAACACAAAUCAUAUUUAGGGGAAAGCCUCAAGGCUAAAACGUUAUUGUUAAAAAGAUUUCAUAAUGCAUGAUCAUAAAUGUAAAUUCAAACCCCUUUGUAAAUUUAUAGUUUCUCUACAUUUAAACAUGAUUAAAAAGAUUUCUCCAUGUCCAUGUAUUUUAGAAAAACUCUGCGUACCUUAGAUUAAUUAGCUUAAAGUGUGGAACCCUAGCCUUGACUCUUUUCUUGGAAAUCUUGACUUGGAAGAUGAAACCUAGAUCUAUGGGAGGGAAGUUAGGGUUUUAUUUUGAAGUAAUUUGAGUGGUUUUUGAUAUAUUAUGCCUCAAUCAAUACAAAAUGUCGUGUUAUGGCUGAGUUAUAAUGAGGAAAAUAGACAAAAAUACCCUUCUGGACCUAAGAAAAAUUUAAUACACGAACUGGGUAUCCGACGCGUUCAGCGACGCACCACGUCGCCUGCCGACGCGAUUACUGGCGUGACACAUCGAUAUCGCGUCGAGCCACUGGUUUGGCCAACGCAAUUUUCGACGCGACGCACCAAUAUCUCGUCGAGUCACUAGUUUGCUUACCCAAACACGUCCCAAACGUUAUCCGAAAAAUUCAAAACCUUCCCGAGACACCCCUCUUACACCCCCGAACAUAAUUCAACUUAAAAAUCUACUUAUCGGGGUCAGAAAGAUUGAUUUUAAAAUUAUUUAAGUUUAAGAGCUUAAAAUAAGGCUAAGUCAUUUCAACACUUAGAAAGUUUCAGGUUGUUGGCACUAAAGCAUGCUACUAAAUUCGGUAUUAAGUCAAGAACGCUAUGGGGCGUUACAGACUUUUUUCCGUAAAGGCACCUCAAUUAAGUCAUGUACCUAUUGAACCCUUUACUUAUUUACAAAACGUUUCAAUAAGGCACAAUUGCUGACAUGACACUGAUGUGGCAUAGCGCACUACACUCAAUUUAUAAGCGUGAAACAUUAAAUUUUAGCUUCUUUUUUUUACUUAAAUCUCUUUAUCUUUUUAUUUUUCUUAAUUCUCUCCUUUCUCAUGAUUUUUUAUUUUUAAAAUAUAAUUACUCCCCUUUUUUUCCUUUAUAAACUCAACUAUUCUACUACUCUUCUUCUUUAUUUUUCUUUUCUUCAUCUCUCUCCCUUUUUCUCCCUGCCACCAUUACUACCUCUUCACGAAUUUUCGGUACUUACCAUUUUUCAUCUAUUCCUCAUUUCAAUAUUUAAUUUACCAUUGGCAUCAUAGAAUUUUAGUAAAAACAAAGGACUGAUAGUACUCCCAUGAAAUCUAAGAUUAAAUCAUUCAGUGUCUAUUGAAAGACAAAGCUUGAGAUGUCAAAAGAGAAAACAGAAACAUCGAAAUUCAACAUCAUGAUGAUGGUAACAAGAAGCUCAUCAAAUUGCAAGUGAACAAAAUAUUAGAUGGCGGCUUAUUCAACAAUUGAAAUCAUGAAAGACAUUAAAAAUCGAACAAAAUAAACUAAUACGGAUUAGAAGGAAGAGGUCUAGAGAGAGAUACACAAACCUUCCACUGGUUCUUUAUUGUUUCAUACUCUGAAUUUCUGACAGACACGAGAUAUUUCCUCCCGACAUAAGUUGAAUCAUACGAAUAAUAUCCCAACAGAAAUCUCUAGACCUGGAACCACAAUGACAAAUGGGAGUGUGUGUUUUGGAAACCCCUGUUUUGUGAGAGUCAUGUGUGUGUUUGUGAGAUUGUGAAGAAGAAAAGGAAAAUGAGGUCUGUCUGUUUGGAAGGGAAGAGAGGGGGAGGGGGGAGGGAGGAUCGGGU
This 3016-nucleotide long non-coding RNA is filed under the name Capsicum annuum. RNAcentral's name for it is "long non-coding RNA (CANN_LNC005657)". Lineage: Eukaryota; Viridiplantae; Streptophyta; Magnoliopsida; Solanales; Solanaceae. The record is from RNAcentral.